RNAcentral lists this ribosomal RNA (1924 nucleotides) under human gut metagenome. Its description in RNAcentral is "bacterial LSU rRNA". It matches the Rfam family "Bacterial large subunit ribosomal RNA", at positions 514 to 2447 of the family's 2925-position model. The record is from RNAcentral.
GUGAAAAGCACUUCGAACAGAAGAGUGAAAUAGUCCCUGAACCCAUACGCCUACAAGCUGUCGGAGCCGCUUCGUGCGGUGACGGCGUGCCUUUUGCAUAAUGAGCCUACGAGUUACUCAUCACCAGCGAGGUUAAGUACUUCAGGUACGUAAGCCGAAGCGAAAGCGAGUCUGAAUAGGGCGUCAAGUUGGUGGUGGUAGACGCGAAACCUUAGUGAUCUACCCAUGGGCAGGGUGAAGGUUUGGUAACACAAACUGGAGGCCCGAACCGGUAAACGUUGAAAAGUUUUCGGAUGACCUGUGGGUAGGGGUGAAAGGCCAAUCAAACUGGGAAAUAGCUCGUACUCUCCGAAAUGCAUUUAGGUGCAGCCUCUGUUGUUUUGUUCUAGAGGUAGAGCUACUGAUUGGAUGCGAGGGCUUCACCGCCUAUCAAAUCCGGCCAAACUCCGAAUGCUAGAACAUGAAGACAGGGAGUGAGCCAGCGGGUGCUAAGGUCCGUUGACGAAAGAGGGAGAACUCAGACCAUCAGCUAAGGUCCCCAAUUGUAUGCUAAGUUGGAAUUAAAACGGGGUGGGACUGCUUAGACAGCUAGGAUGUUGGCUUGGAAGCAGCCAUUCAUUUAAAGAGUGCGUAACAGCUCACUAGUCGAGCGGUCCUGCAUGGAUAAUACGCGGGCAUAAGCAUAUAACCGAAGCUAUGGGAUUGUAGAUGAUACAAUCGGUAGGAGAGCAUUCCAUUCAGCGUAGAAGCAGUAUCGUGAGGUAUUGUGGAGCGGAUGGAAAAGCAAAUGUAGGCAUAAGUAACGAUAAUGCGGGUGAGAACCCCGCACGCCGAAAGAUCAAGGAUUCCCCGGCAAUGUCAAUCAUCCGGGGGUAAGUCGGAUCCUAAGGGUAAGCCGAGUGGCGAUCCCGAUGGCAAACAGGUUAAUAUUCCUGUACUGAUCAUAACUGCGAUGCAGCGACGCAGAGGUGACACUGCUGCGUACUGACGGAAUAGUACGUUGAAACCCGUAUUCUUUGAUACCGGUAGUGAAGCACGCCGGUAGAGAUGAAAGGUGAUAGUACCGCAAUGCUUCGGUUGCGCGGAUAACGCAGGUAAGCUGACUGCCAAGAAAACCUGCUAAGCUUCAGGUAAUGAUCAUCCGUACUGUAAACGGACACACGUGAUCAGGUAGAAAAUACUAAGGCGCUGAGAGAUUCAUGGUUAAGGAACUAGGCAAAAUGGUCCUGUAACUUCGGGAUAAAGGACGCUCUUGUGAAAGAGCCGCAGAUAAUAGGCCCAGGCGACUGUUUACCAAAAACACAUGGCUAUGCUAAUUCGCAAGAAGAUGUAUAUGGCCUGACACCUGCCCGGUGCCGGAAGGUUAAGAGGAGAGCUCAGAGGCAACUCGAAGGUUUGAAUUGAAGCCCCGGUAAACGGCGGCCGUAACUAUAACGGUCCUAAGGUAGCGAAAUUCCUUGUCGGGUAAGUUCCGACCUGCACGAAUGGUGUAACGAUCUGGGUACUGUCUCAACCAUGAGCUCGGUGAAAUUGUAGUUCCGGUGAAGAUGCCGGAUACCCGCAACGGGACGGAAAGACCCCGUGAACCUUUACUGCAGCUUUGCAUUGAUUUUGGGUAACAGAUGUGUAGGAUAGGUCGGAGGCUUUGAUGCUGCGUCGUCAGGCGUAGAGUAGCCGUCGUUGAAAUACGACCCUUUUGUUAUCUGAGGUCUAAUCCCGUUAGGGAGACAUUGCAUGGUGGGUAGUUUGACUGGGGUGGUCGCCUCCAAAAGUGUAACGGAGGCUUCUCAAGGUACCCUCAAGGCGUUUGGUAAUCGUCUGCAGAGUGCAAUGGCAUAAGGGUGCUUGACUGUGAGACCGACACGUCGAUCAGGUUGGAAACAAGAGCAUAGUGAUCCGGUGGUUCCGCAUGGAAGGGCCAUCG